RNAcentral lists this ribosomal RNA (914 nucleotides) under Exophiala equina. RNAcentral's name for it is "SSU rRNA". It matches the Rfam family "Eukaryotic small subunit ribosomal RNA", at positions 149 to 1072 of the family's 1831-position model. The record is from RNAcentral. Lineage: Eukaryota; Fungi; Ascomycota; Eurotiomycetes; Chaetothyriales; Herpotrichiellaceae. RNAcentral also lists the same sequence under 2 other names.
GUGGUAAUUCUAGAGCUAAUACAUGCUAAAAACCUCGACUUCGGAAGGGGUGUAUUUAUUAGAUAAAAAACCAAUGCCCUUCGGGGCUCCUUGGUGAUUCAUAAUAACUUAACGAAUCGCAUGGCCUUGCGCCGGCGAUGGUUCAUUCAAAUUUCUGCCCUAUCAACUUUCGAUGGUAAGAUAGUGGCUUACCAUGGUCUCAACGGGUAACGGGGAAUUAGGGUUCUAUUCCGGAGAGGGAGCCUGAGAAACGGCUACCACAUCCAAGGAAGGCAGCAGGCGCGCAAAUUACCCAAUCCCAAUUCGGGGAGGUAGUGACAAUAAAUACUGAUACGGGGCUCUUUCGGGUCUCGUAAUUGGAAUGAGUACAAUCUAAAUCCCUUAACGAGGAACAAUUGGAGGGCAAGUCUGGUGCCAGCAGCCGCGGUAAUUCCAGCUCCAAUAGCGUAUAUUAAAGUUGUUGCCGUUAAAAAGCUCGUAGUUGAACCUUGGACCUGGCUGAUCUGUCCUCCUAAUCGAGCGCACGGAUUCGGUCGGGUCUUUCCUUCUGGGGAGCCCUAUGCCCUUCACUGGGUGUAGUGGGGAACCAGGACUUUUACCUUGAAAAAAUUAGAGUGUUCAAAGCAGGCCUUUGCUCGAAUACAUUAGCAUGGAAUAAUAGAAUAGGACAUCGGUUCUAUUUUGUUGGUUUCUAGGACCGCUGUAAUGAUUAAUAGGGAUAGUCGGGGGCGUCAGUAUUCAAUUGUCAGAGGUGAAAUUCUUGGAUUUAUUGAAGACUAACUACUGCGAAAGCAUUCGCCAAGGAUGUUUUCAUUAAUCAGUGAACGAAAGUUAGGGGAUCGAAGACGAUCAGAUACCGUCGUAGUCUUAACCAUAAACUAUGCCGACUAGGGAUCGGACGGUGGUUUUUUUAU